Kogia breviceps (pygmy sperm whale) is the source of this 2531-nucleotide non-coding RNA. NCBI's taxonomy places the organism in Eukaryota, Metazoa, Chordata, Mammalia, Artiodactyla, Physeteridae. The record is from RefSeq and is a predicted model, not a curated record.
GGGGUUUGUCCCCUCGUGCCCCUCACACUGAUGUGGAAAUUGCUCAGCCCCUGUGACUGGCCUCUGGUGGCAGAGUCUCACCCCUGGAGAGACGGGGGGGGGAAGGCUGUGGCAGACCCUGUGCUGGUCUCCUCAACAGCCGGCCCCCUUCUCCCUGCCCAGCAGUGGACCACGUUGGUCUGUCUGCUAGUCACUGCACACGCAUUGCAGGUGAUGGGGCUGCCUGUCCCCUCAGGCAUUACCGAUGAAGAGCUCUCUGGCCAACCCCUGCCUCUCUGCAUCUCUGCCCCUUUGCCAGAGGGCUUCCUUCAGCAGCCCAACCAGGCAGCAAGCACCAGAAAACUGACACUCCAUUGGGAAGAGCCUUCAACCAGUGAUGUCUCACUCCCCUCCUCCCCUACUGAUGUUUCCUGGAAUCCCCUCCUGAACAAACCUACUUGCACUUGAAGCCUUGUCAAGGGCCUGCUUCUGGGGAAGUUAACCUAAGACCACAUGUGACCCAGUCUGGACAAAAAUGAAAGUCGGAAUGUGGAAAGUAGCAUAAACACGGAAGUGACGAGGGGCCAGGUCUAUGAUCUCUGUCCUCUCUGCUGCCCUGGCUCAGCAAUGGGGAGUGUCUGCAGCAGCUGUCCUGAGCCUUGGGGACCAGCCCUCAGUCCCCCACCACUGCCUCCUCUGCCCGGGGAGCUGGUGAAGGCCCCAGGGCAUGGCUGGCUGCAGGCAGUCCAGCCUUGGGGCCGCUUCAAGGUGUCCCCUCCUUGCCCCGGAGACAUGGGGUGUCUAGGCCCGAAGCCGAGUUGGAGUUGGCCCGGCUCUGAGUACAAGCACAGAGAAUGCCGAUUAAAUGUGCCAAAGAAUGGGGAGAAGCUGGUGGAGGCUCAGGAGGCUGGGGCGCGGGGGGCAGAGCAUCCCUCCCCACACAAGCCAGCCCCUGGCUCAGCUGCUUGCUCGGUUACAGGGCAAACACACCAGAUCACCCAGAGGUCACGGGCGGUCCUGGCCAGGGACAACUCAGCCUGGCCUCACCACCUUGUCCUCCCACAAAUGUGGUAAUGCCUCCCUUGAGUUAGACGACCCCGGGCAGGAGAGUGGGCUUCAAGGAGUCUCCUGGGCAAAGGGGAGUGCUGAUCUGCUGCUCCAGGGUUGAAAGAAAACCAGAGCAGGCGACUUCCCUGGAUACUGUGGCCGCCAUUAGAUUUCCAGAGCCUCAUCACUGUUCCAUUGUACACACAAGGAGACUGAAGCCCAGAGAGUGAAAGGGGCUCUUCCCCAGGACCUACAGCAGAACCCGGCUCAGAUCAGCUGGUCAGAAAGCAGAGACUCGGAGCCAACAGAGAAGGACCACGGUGUGGAGGGGGGAACGGUCCAGAAACAGGGCUUGCCCUGGAAGGACAUCUCAGCCUCUCGGGUUUCAGCCACUGUCUUGCAGGAAAUCGCUAUUUGGACUUCAGAGGUGCCUCUUCCUGCAGCGGCUGCCACGGAGGGGAGAGGGACGGGAAGGGGCCUUCCUGCCCACCUGGACCAGACCUUGAGUUGGGCAGGAGAACCCCCCCACCCUGGUCCUCCCUAACGUCCCUCGAACGUCAGCCUUGGGGAGAAGCUGGGUUGAGCGGGGACUGAACAGAGGCCCUCCCACCGUCCUCCGUCCUCCUGUAGAUAAAGAAGCACAGCAGAGAAGUGGAUGCUCCCCGCGGCCAUGGGGGCGGACUGGCAUCCCCUCAUCGAGGUCAGAGUCACAAACACGCACACCCCGAGGCCCAGCGAUCCCACCUUCAGGAAUAUUCUACAGAUACAGCUCAUUUGUGCAAAAGGACAUGCUCACACAAGCUUGUUUAUAACAGAGAAAUUAAUAGAAGGGAUUAAGCAGGAGCUGGGCAACUGGAUCAUGUGUGGUUCAUCCCUCCGUGAAGCUCCAGGCUGCUCUUCAAAGUGCUGAUAAGGAAGAGCCCCCAAACACAUGGUCAAGUGAUAAAAACGGUGCGACGUGCAUGGGAUUCUGACAUUUUGUAAAAAAAAAAGAAAGAAAAAUGAUAUGGGUAAAUGCUUGUGUAUGCACUUUUGAUGAGACUUUUGAACCUUUUGUACUUUGAGCAUACAAUAACUAAGCAAAAACAGAAACACAAACCAAAAAAACCCUUGAGACAAACGAAUAUUGAGGGGGCCGAGAAAAUGGGGCUUCUCUCCUGGCUUUGAUCUUGACUAUGUGACCCUGGGGAGGUCACUUCCUCUCUGUGUCCUGAGUUUCCUAUGUGGUCCCAGAAGUCGGAAAACCUUGGUGUUGGCAAACAUCCGUCAGGGCCACUCCACCCUUUGUUCCUGGAAGCAGCAGUCCCACCAGUUUCCCAUGAGGUCUCCACUUUUCAAGGCCUUCUUCAGCCAUGUCUUCUCCUCAGGACAAUCCAAGUCCAACCAUGAGCUGUCCUUUCACUCACCCUGGACCCCUCCUGGCUUCCUCCAGGUCCAAGAUGGGGUGGAGAGGGGUUUGGUCCACACAGCCCUCCCCGCUGUCAGCCUCAGUGCCCUGAUCUGCC